UAAGGCUGAACUGGCAAUUUGGGUAAACGAAACAGAAUUGUAACUUACUAACAUAAAGUUUUAAGUACGUAUUAAUAAUGAUAAUGUGUAUAAGAGUCUUGACCAAUUACGUGCCAGCAGUCGCGGUAAUACGUAGGAGACCAGCUUAUUAUUCAUAUUAAAUAGGUUUAAAGGGUACCCAAACGGUCAAAAUACCUGAAAUAUAGGAGUACUUGACUAGAGAUAUAUGUAAGAAGACCGUACUUGAGGUGCAGAGAUUAUAUUUUAUGAUACCAAAAGGACUGAUAACGGCGAAGGCUGGCUUUUAUGUAAUAACUGACGUUGACGGACGAAGGCAUAGAUAACUAACAGGAUUCGUUACCCUAGUAGUCUUUGCAGACAAUGAUGAAUGCCAUUAACUAGAUAUAAAUUCUUAGUUAUAUGAAUGAAAAUGAAAGCAUUUCACCUCAAGAGUAAUGUGGGAACGCAGGAACUGAAAUCACUAGACCGUUUCUGACACCAGUAGUGAAGUAUGUUAGUUAAUUCGAUGU
Molecule: ribosomal RNA, 530 nt
Filed under: Colletotrichum fructicola
Lineage: Eukaryota; Fungi; Ascomycota; Sordariomycetes; Glomerellales; Glomerellaceae
Description: SSU rRNA
Rfam family: Bacterial small subunit ribosomal RNA
Source: RNAcentral